UUCAGCAGAUAAGGAAGGCUAAUGGAUAUAAAUCGCUGGUCAUGAUUGGAGAUGGUGCAACUGAUCUUGAGGCUCGCAAACCAGGAGGUGCCGACUUAUUUAUAUGCUAUGCUGGGGUUCAGCUUCGAGAAACUGUUGCAGCUAAAGCUGAUUGGCUGGUGUUCAAUUUUAAGGACUUGAUUGAUAGCUUGGAGUAGCAUGCACCCAUUUUUCUUGAUUGAUACCUUUUUUCUGUUUCCUUUUGGGUGGUGGUUCUCUUUCUUUACCUUUACUAUUAUUGAUUUUUUGGGGGUACUAGAGUUCUAUGGGUUAUAACUACCAUGCUUCCAAAAAUCUUCUGCAUCAGUAUAUGUAUUCUUUGACAAACAUUUUAUGUAUGUAAUUUGUGAAAAUGACAGUCCUCAGGCACUUGCCCUCAAUAAGCAACUUGAAAGCCUUGUUGAUGUCAUCAAGUUUGACCUCAUGAGUGACAAACAAAUCCAGCUGAAGUUCACGGAUGUGUGUUCAAAGAUUUAAGCAAAA
Molecule: long non-coding RNA, 522 nt
Organism: Coffea eugenioides
Lineage: Eukaryota; Viridiplantae; Streptophyta; Magnoliopsida; Gentianales; Rubiaceae
Exons: 3
Source: RefSeq, a predicted model, not a curated record